GCCGGGCCGGAGAAUCCCCUGCAUGGGGGCGGGGGGCGCUGACGCGCGGUGACGUGCGGCGCCGGUAGCCCUCCCCGGGCCGGGCGGUGCCGCGCCGAGGGGCGCAGGAGUGGCGGUGACGUGCGGCGCCGGUAGCCCUCCCCGGGCCGGGCGGUGCCGCGCCGAGGGGCGCAGGAGUGGCGGUGACGUGCGGCGCCGGUAGCCCUCCCCGGGCCGGGCGGUGCCGCGCCGAGGGGCGCAGGAGUGGCGGUGACGUGCGGCGCCGGUAGCCCUCCCCGGGCCGGGCGGUGCCGCGCCGAGGGGCGCAGGAGUGGCGGCGACCAGAGACAGAAUCGGCUGCCGGCCUGCGACAUCCGCAGGCCUCCGGUGAGGGCAGCUCCGCCGUGCCGGGGCAUUGCCGUCCCGCCUGAGGUACCGCAGUUGAGAAGCGGGGGCGGGCGGCAGCGCCUGGAUGUGCCGCCUGAGGCGGAAGGGAAGCCCAGGGAGGGUCUCGGGGAGCGGCACGGCAGCGUUUAGAACAAAACAAAGGAGUAAAAAGAGCGAUCGUCAGAAGUCGGAGAAGAGCCCCUGGCUAAGAGACCGCGGUCCCCUCAGCCCACACAUGCGCCCACACAUCAGCCCCGCUCCCUGCCUUGGGAGCGCUGAAGUGCCCUCAUGAGCCCUGCAGGCCCGCCUGGGAGCAGCUUUUCCCGGCGGAGCGGACACCUUCGGCAGCCCGGCUGUGAGAAGGAAGGCUCCGCUUCCUGCUGCGGUGAUCGAGCGAAAGAGACAAAAAGCAAACCCCAAACCUCAAAGUUUGGUUUUUCAAAAUCCAGCGGUUGCAGGGCACAAAAGCACAGGCGGCUGGGAAGUGGCAAAGCACAGCCUGGAGCCUCCUGGGUUCUCGGUGAGAGGAGAAGCGUGAAGGGGCUGAGCACGUCUGCAGGAGCGUGGAGCAGCCUGCUGCACCCUGGUUACGAACACCAAGGGGAUGGACUCCUUUGUUUCCAAGCGUGUGUUCAGAGACAAACGCUACAGCACUUGCAAACUUGAGGAGGUACCGAAAAAAAAAACAAUGGGUGAAAAAAUCAUUCCCCAUCACUGUUUGAUUUCAGGAACUGGAAAACACUGGCUGGCACUAUCAAAAAUCAGGUAUUUUUAAGGAGAGGAAAGUGCUUCAGUGGCUCUGAGUUCCCAUUUGAACGCUGCGUGGCUUAGUAAGCCCCUACCUUCUGAUAAAGCUGCAGAAGAAGUCUCAAACCGUUCUAUGUUGCCAAUUAAUUAGCAUGACCGAGGGAACAAGCUGGUACACCCCAUAGCUCAGAAUGUGUCCUCCUGCUGAUUGUUUUAAACUCGGAAGUCGUCCUACAAACAAGUAUAUGGUGUAAGAUGUUGCCGUCUUUGAUGGAAGGAGUGUGAGAACCUGCUUCACAAAGCUAACCACUAGCAGUUCCCUGCUGCUGAGCCUGCUGAAGAGAGUUGCCUGUUGUGAAUGUGUCACUGCAGCGACAGCCAGCUGGCAUGUCGGCAUUUCCAAAGGAAGCCAAGUGCUCACCAGCAGUCAUCCCUGCAUGAAACGUGGCAGUGGCAAGGAGCAGGUGAUGGUGAGGAACCAGAGAGCCGGCGAGCAGAAGGUGCCUUGCUGAGGUGGAAGCAGACACUGCCCCUGUGCUCGAAGGAAAACCUGAGAGUGCUCUUUAGUAACUGCAGGAGGCCAGGAUGGGAGCUGGAGCCGUACCCAAAACCCAACAGCAACCUCUGCGGCCAUGCUGAGGUAUUGAUUGUGCAGUGACUCAAAGGCCACCCGCAGGCCUGGCCACCAGCAGCCUCUCGGGGGGAGCCGCCGGAGCUACACACACUCCCCUGCCCGGGCAGCCCCGGCAGAGCCACGCAGAGCCUGCGUGGAGAGGCAAGCAGGACUUGCUCUCAUCUGCUCUGUCCUCCCCAGCAGGGAGCCAUGGGAGCAGUCACUGCUCCAAGCAUGAGGCUGGCAGCUCAUCUGCACCUUGGGCUACCUGGCAACCUGGCACCAGCCAGAGGCAGAAGAGAUGCUCCCAAAUAAGGCUCUCAGGCAGCAUCACUUGGUAAACCAGAAGGGGAAAGAAGCACCUGUUACACAGCCAGAGCUGGGGCUUGCUGGGCCAAGUCGUCACCUGGGAGGGUGAGACAAAUCCAGAAGAGCCUCAGCUACCACCACCUACUCUCUUCUAGGCCACUCAAGUUUGUAAGUCUCAAACCAGCAAGAAAGCUUUUGAAUAGGGCUUCAGCUGCUCUGACCAAAAUCAAGCUUAGGGAGAAAAUGACAGAAUCAAGGAAUCCAGGACACCUUGGGUGGAGAGAGACAUAUAAAGGUUAUCUGGUCUGACCCCCUCCCCUGCAGGGGACAUCUUCAGCUGGAGCAGGUUGCUCAGAGCCUCAUCCAGCCUGACCUGGAAUGGUUCCAAGGAUGAGGCAUCUACCACCUUUUGGGGCAGACUGAGCCAGUGUCUCACCACUCACAGCAUUAAAGAGUUUUUCUUCCA
Long non-coding RNA from Pogoniulus pusillus (Red-fronted tinkerbird), 2501 nucleotides. RefSeq lists it as uncharacterized. NCBI's taxonomy places the organism in Eukaryota, Metazoa, Chordata, Aves, Piciformes, Lybiidae. The record is from RefSeq and is a predicted model, not a curated record. The transcript has 3 exons.